AGGACGAACGCUGGCGGCGUGCUUAACACAUGCAAGUCGAGCGGUAAGGCUCCUUCGGGAGUACACGAGCGGCGAACGGGUGAGUAACACGUGAGUAAUCUGCCCUUGACUCUGGGAUAACUUCGGGAAACCGUGGCUAAUACCGGAUAUGACGCAUGGUCGCAUGGUCUGUGUGUGGAAAGAUUUAUUGGUCAGGGAUGAGCUCGCGGCCUAUCAGCUUGUUGGUGGGGUAAUGGCCUACCAAGGCGACGACGGGUA
This 258-nucleotide ribosomal RNA is filed under the name uncultured bacterium. RNAcentral's name for it is "partial small subunit ribosomal RNA". It matches the Rfam family "Bacterial small subunit ribosomal RNA", at positions 26 to 285 of the family's 1533-position model. The record is from RNAcentral.